Non-coding RNA from Biomphalaria pfeifferi, 1213 nucleotides. The record is from the annotation of a GenBank genome assembly. NCBI's taxonomy places the organism in Eukaryota, Metazoa, Mollusca, Gastropoda, Planorbidae.
UAAAUCAUAUUUUGUUUAUUAUAUAUAUUUUUUUAAAUGAAGUUUUCAAUAUUAUCAAACACAUGAUUUUUGUUUGUUUGUCGUUGGUCAACACUGAACUUAAGCAAACAAAAAACAAGCAUGAAUUAAAUUAAAAAUAAAUAAAUAAUAAGAUAAGAUAAUAAGAUAAAAAUAACAAAAUAAAUAAUGAUAAAUUACGUUUGAAAUGUAUAAUGAACGUAUUCAGCGUUUUGUUCAAGCUUAUUUGACCUUUUAUCUAGUUAGCUAGAAAAAAAUAUAUUUUAAAAGACUUGCUGUUGAAGCAUUAACAUUAACGCUGCUAUAAAGAGCAAACUAGAACACACAUAAAUAAAGUAGAUGUACUAACAGUUGUAACAGAAACUAUGUAAUGAUUUUACUUCGAUACAUGUUUAACAGUAAAGUCGUUAACAAGGGCUUACUAAUAGAGGUACUGAGAUUUGAAAUGCUAAUUCUACUUGGUGAUGCAGAAAGGUGCGGUCGCUCAGUAUUAUAAAGUAGACAUAUCCGUCUAGACGAUAAUAGUGAGUUGCUCACUUAUUGCUUUAUUCUGAACUUAUAUAUUAUUUAACAUGGUGUCAGCGGUGGGAUACAAGAAAAUACUAAUCUAAAUUAUUCAUAAGUUUGUUCAAAGGCAAGAAUUAUUUUGACAUUAGUUAGUUUGAAUUUAAGAAAAAAAAAACAGAACAAAACAUUUCUGUUCUAUUAAUCUUGAAUUCUUUAGUGUAGUGACACCGAUGAAGACUUUAAAAAAUUAACAUCUGUGUUUGAAAUAAAUUAUUCUUUUUUGAUAAAUAUAAAAUAUAUACAUCACAAUAGAUAACACGUAUAUGUUUUUCUAAUUACAAAAUAAACAAUCGAUGUAUGUAUUGCGAGAGGCAUAAAUAACAAAUGCUUUUUGCAUAUUAAGAUAUAUACAUGAUCAAGUGUUCAUAUUUCAAUCAUAAAUAAACCAUAGCAAUGAAAAAAAUCCAAUAAAAUUACAACAUAAUACGAUGUCGUCAUGCACGUCAACAUUUUAGAAGAUAAGUUAAACUAAUUGCAUCUUUAGUAAAUCUCUGAGUUGCAUUUGAUAUGUUAAAAAUAUUUCAGAAUCAUUUCCAACUAAUACUAGAUUAACCACAUUACAUAAAGAAAACUAAAGCUUACCCAAAUUUUACUUUCAUACUGCUUCCUGUCAAUCUAACAUACUACU